ACGUACACUCCUGCGGGAGGCAGCAGUGGGGAAUAUUGCACAAUGGGCGCAAGCCUGAUGCAGCCAUGCCGCGUGUAUGAAGAAGGCCUUCGGGUUGUAAAGUACUUUCAGCGGGGAGGAAGGCGAUAAGGUUAAUAACCUUGUCGAUUGACGUUACCCGCAGAAGAAGCACCGGCUAACUCCGUGCCAGCAGCCGCGGUAAUACGGAGGGUGCAAGCGUUAAUCGGAAUUACUGGGCGUAAAGCGCACGCAGGCGGUCUGUCAAGUCGGAUGUGAAAUCCCCGGGCUCAACCUGGGAACUGCAUUCGAAACUGGCAGGCUAGAGUCUUGUAGAGGGGGGUAGAAUUCCAGGUGUAGCGGUGAAAUGCGUAGAGAUCUGGAGGAAUACCGGUGGCGAAGGCGGCCCCCUGGACAAAGACUGACGCUCAGGUGCGAAAGCGUGGGGAGCAAACAGGAUUAGAUACCCCUGUAGUCCC
RNAcentral lists this ribosomal RNA (476 nucleotides) under uncultured organism. Its description in RNAcentral is "partial 16S ribosomal RNA". It matches the Rfam family "Bacterial small subunit ribosomal RNA", at positions 329 to 797 of the family's 1533-position model. The record is from RNAcentral.